AUCAAUAUAUCAUUAUCUACUUCAGUUCAAAUAUUGUAAGAAUAUUGAAAGAAAUUAAUCAGUAGUGAAUUAUUUUAGAUAUUUGAUUUCCAGAUGAAUAUGGAAUAUAAUCAAUAGUGUAACGAGAGAUUUUGCUUUUAGCCGUUUUGAAAAAUCUUGCAAUACCUUGAAGAGAAACCCUGAAAAAAUGGGUCUAAAUAUCAUAAAAAUUUCACUUCUCCCCACUGAUCUAAUUAAGGUGAUGACAGUAUCAGGACACUUUGAUUUGCAUAAAAUAAUAAUUAGUUCUAAGACUAAGGCUUUAAAUAAAUAAUAAUUGGCUAUAAUUUAAAAUUAGAAAUCCAAAAUGGCAAAUGCAAUAAUCCUCUAUGAGAGACCCAGGGUUAGGGUAUGGAAAGUUCCAGCAACUCAUAGGGAGGAGCUUAGCUAUCUAAAAACAGGAUGCCAUAAGAGGUGAGGAACUAGACAGGAAGUACAAAUACACUAGUAAAAAGGGGAGGAUCUAAAUGGGAAGAGGAGUUAUGCUAAUAUCUGGAAGCUGAUUGGCUGAGUCAGGCUAAUAAAUUAUGUUAAUGAGCAAACCUUGAGAGAGCAACCAUUAUAUGAGGCUGACAGCCAGCAGGCUUAUUUGUGGGGUUUUUGUGAGUAUGAGCUGAGAAGAAGGGAAAGGACAAGAUCAAGCACGCCUCCGUUUCUAUGACAACAACAGCAGUGACAACAGAAGAUUCAGGAAGGCAGCAGCUUGUGAAGCAGCUAAACACCACUACCAGAGCAGCCCUGCAGCUCCUGAAUGGGUAGUCCCUGUGACCUGCACUGGCAACAAUAACAACCACCAUCUCCGACAUUAAUACCACUCUGACAACGCUGAAGAACCUUUCCUUUUGAGACGAGUCAGAAAGCUCAAAGAAGAAUAGAAGUGGAAAAAAGGAGGAACAGAGAGAUGAAGUGACAUGCCCAAGUCACACAGCAGCUCAGUGACAACUGGAACACCACCCAGGUCUCUUGAUACAAAGGGCAGUGCCAUGAUUGCUAGACAAUGCUACUGUACCAUUUGCCAAUGACAAUUUUAAGAAAUGAAUGAAUAAUAAAAAUUACUAGGA
Long non-coding RNA from Gopherus flavomarginatus (Mexican gopher tortoise), 1100 nucleotides. RefSeq lists it as uncharacterized. The transcript is spliced from 2 exons. NCBI's taxonomy places the organism in Eukaryota, Metazoa, Chordata, Testudines, Testudinidae. The record is from RefSeq and is a predicted model, not a curated record.